Molecule: long non-coding RNA, 3334 nt
Organism: Drosophila mojavensis
Lineage: Eukaryota; Metazoa; Arthropoda; Insecta; Diptera; Drosophilidae
Exons: 4
Source: RefSeq, a predicted model, not a curated record
AUAAUCAAUCAGGAUGUUAUAACAUGAAGCGAAUGCAAAUGCAUUCAGUCAAAAGUGAAUGAGUCGAGCGCAGCCAACUUAAUGUUGUUACAGGUACAGCGAACUUCACUUGUCUCCAUCAAGGAAAAUUAGUAUAUAAUAUAAUAUAUAUAUGAUAUUGAAACUGAACAAUGUGAUAAAGCAAAAAUAUUUAAUAUGUGAAUAAACUCAAGUACCUCAGACUUCAGGCACUUGGAUUUUUCAGUUGAAAUGGAAAUUGACAUAUGUGAACACGUAACACUAUUUUAUUCGCAUCCCAGAAACUUGAGUCGCGCAAUAAACACCAGGCAUACAGAAUGACAGUUUGGGGCUUCGACUUGGGCCUCACUUGUAGGAUGCCUGACCUCCAAUGACCAGAGACAGGUUGGACUUGUCCGUGUCCAGCGUCGGUCGUUGCGUCGGCCCAGUUACAGCGAGCAAGCCUCAAUCUCUAGCAUCUGGAGUUGUCUAACUGUUAUUGUUAUACCCUGGACCCAUUGAAAAUGGGAAAUCAGGGUAUAAUGGUUUUGUUAAAAAAGCUCUUUCACUUUCUACACAGUCAUUCUGCUGUUGAAAUUGCCGCCCUCGGUGUUGGCCUUUGACUUUCGCUCACAGACCCGGGGCAGAAGGUAUGGCACAGGCGUGUCUCAAUUUAGAAAAUGCCGUUCAAGAAGUUGCUGUCGCCACACUACAACAGCAACAGCAACAACAGCAACAACAACAACAACAAUAAUAAUAAUAACUAAAAACAACAGUAAAUAAUAAAUAGUACAACAACUAUAGCCGUAAGCAACAACAAGUUUUACGCACAGCAGCAACUCGAGCGUCACUAAAAAAGCGUUUAAGACAACGGCAAUAUAUCGCUCAAACUGUUAGAGAUGGGCGCGUGCGCACUCCACAAGGCUGGCAACGACUUCACAAUAUCACUACUUCAGAUUAGUUACAAUACGCAUGUAUUAAAGUUUGUUGAUCCUAGCUUGACAGCCCUUCAGCAUACCUUCACAUACCUAUUAGUAUAUAGAUUGUUAUGUAUAGGUCAAUAUGUAUAGAUCGAUAUGUAUAGAUCAGUAUGUAUGGGUAGAUAUGUAUAGAUCAAUUUGUAUAUGUAUGUAUAUAUAUGUGUAGAUCGAUAUGUAUAGAUCGUUAUGGUUGGAUCGAUAUGUAUGGAUCAAUAUGUAGUAUAGAUCGGUAUGUAUAGGUAGAUAUGUAUAGAUCGAUUUGUAGAGAACGUUAUGGAUCGAUCUUUAUACAUCAAUAUGUGUAGAUCGAUAUGUAUAGAUCGUAAUGUUUGGAUCGAUAUGUAUAGAUCAGAAUGUAUACUUCGGUAUGUAUAGAUCGGGAUGUUUGCGCAGAUAUGUAUAUAUCGUUAUGUAUGGAUCGAUCUAUGUAGAUGUAUGUAUAGUAUGUAUAGAUCGAUAUGUAUGGAUCGAUAAGUAUAGAUCACUAUGUAGAUUGAAUUGAUCAAUUUUCAAUAGAUCAUCAUAGAUCGAUCUGUAUAGAUCAGUAUGUAUAGAUCGAUAUGUAUAGAUCAAUAUGUAUAGACCAGUAUAUAUAUGUAUAAGGAUAUAAUCAGAUCGAUAGAUCGGAGUGCAUAGAUCUGCAUAGGUCUCCAAUGCUCUACAACUAAUCUAGAAUGAAACAGUUUUCUUUGGCUUUAUACAUCGAACUAUACGUAUUAAUUAAUAUUUUACUACUAGGUAUAGUUUUCUUUGAUAAUUUGUCAUACUCACAUUGACUGUUUACACAUCAUAUCCUGUCUAGUUUUCUGCUACUCUUGCUCGACUGAACCAUUUGGGCUCAAGCUGAAAUAGGUUUUAUUCAAAAAUAUUCAUAAAUAUUUAUAAUUAAUUACUUAAAAUAAGUAAACAUUUACUUAAAUAAAAAAAAACUAAUACUUGAAAAUAGAAAAAAAAUAGAUAUCAAAAUUAAGCUCGACAUCGUGAGUCACGCUCCCAUCAUCUGCAGAGAACGAAAGCCGCAGCAGUGUGAAAUGGAUAACCAGCAUGCCGAAGGAGGCCAACUAAGCAAACUGUGUCUUACUAUAUAUAAACACAAGUAAAUUUACUAAAUAUAUAUUAUAAUGGGUAAGAGCCAACAUGAUCAAGAUUAUCAAACUCAGAACUAUUGUGUUAGCUAAACUUUAGCAAACUCAUAAUUACAUAUACUUGUAUAUAUGCAUGUAUAUUUGUGUAUAUUUCUGUAUAUCAGAGACAUAUGUAUGUGAAUUGCAAGUGAAAUUGGCAUUAAACCAGUCUGUAAAUUGGUAAACUCUUUACCCAAAAUUGUUGUUCAAAAGGCCCUCUUCAGUUGUCAAAAAGUUUGUCACACUUCCAACACAAUUUUUGAUCCGACUUCAUUAUGCUCGUUCCUGUCUAAACUUACUAAAAUAUUCCAUAAUUUUAGACGUAUUAUCUUAUAUAAUUGCUGACUUCAAGAUCUCAGCUUAAAGACUGCGGAAGAUUCACCAGAUGAUAAAUGUUUGAUCUAUCAUUGCAAGAUCCUCUGGUCACUCACUCAUCAUAGAUUUGUAUUCUAGUUCUGCUACUCAGCUGCAUGACUGGCCACGCCCAUCCUUUAUACACGUGUAUAGCAUGGGCAUGUAAGUUAUAUAUUAAUUACCUCUUUAGCGUUUCUUUAUUAUAUUUCCAUUUGUUUAUUACAGAGUUGUUUUUCAAAGAGUUGCACUUAAUGUCAAUUUCACUUUUCACACUCAACAAUAAACACGGUGUCACAUGAGCUUAUCGUACCACUUAAUACCCUACACUUGCUUGGAGCCCAACUCAACGAUUAUUUAUAUAAGAUGAAUGAAUUGAGUAUUAGCGCUAAACAAAUUGUUUAAUUAGGUGUAAUAGGUGUAAUUAAAGACAGAACAGUGCAGUAUUCAUUUCGUACUUUUCCUACUCUGUAAAUAGAGCUGAAAGCCAAUCAUGUUGAUGCAAGUAUCCAAAAUCGUAAAUAGAAAUCGUAAUGGAAACAAAUGUUCUUUAUUUGUUGUACAUUAAUAAGUAGCUUAUAUUUCUUUCAAUCUCGCUCUCCCUCUUUCUCUCUCCCUUGCCCUCUAUUUCUUCAUUUUCUUUCUCUCUCCCUUUCUCUCUCUCUAGCUCCCAUAAUGUAUAUUCGCUUCCUCUACGACCUCCCACGAAGCCAGUCUACAUCUCCUUGACUAAUUAUGUCGCUUUUCUUAUUGUCUCACCCUUCCCCCUUCUUUCUUUUUCCUAUCUGUUUCUAUCACUGUCGUUUCACUGUGUCUCUCUUUUAUUAUCUCGUUAUAAUUGUCUCUCUGUUUAACUUAUUUUUCUAUAUUUUAUUCUGCAGC